CAUAUUGUGAGCUCGAUGAGUAGGGCGGGACACGUGGUAUCCUGUCUGAAUAUGGGGGGACCAUCCUCCAAGGCUAAAUACUCCUGACUGACCGAUAGUGAACCAGUACCGUGAGGGAAAGGCGAAAAGAACCCCGGCGAGGGGAGUGAAAAAGAACCUGAAACCGUGUACGUACAAGCAGUGGGAGCCUCUUUAUGGGGUGACUGCGUACCUUUUGUAUAAUGGGUCAGCGACUUAUAUUCUGUAGCAAGGUUAACCGAAUAGGGGAGCCGAAGGGAAACCGAGUCUUAACUGGGCGUUAAGUUGCAGGGUAUAGACCCGAAACCCGGUGAUCUAGCCAUGGGCAGGUUGAAGGUUGGGUAACACUAACUGGAGGACCGAACCGACUAAUGUUGAAAAAUUAGCGGAUGACUUGUGGCUGGGGGUGAAAGGCCAAUCAAACCGGGAGAUAGCUGGUUCUCCCCGAAAGCUAUUUAGGUAGCGCCUCGUGAAUUCAUCUCCGGGGGUAGAGCACUGUUUCGGCAAGGGGGUCAUCCCGACUUACCAACCCGAUGCAAACUGCGAAUACCGGAGAAUGUUAUCACGGGAGACACACGGCGGGUGCUAACGUCCGUCGUGAAGAGGGAAACAACCCAGACCGCCAGCUAAGGUCCCAAAGUCAUGGUUAAGUGGGAAACGAUGUGGGAAGGCCCAGACAGCCAGGAUGUUGGCUUAGAAGCAGCCAUCAUUUAAAGAAAGCGUAAUAGCUCACUGGUCGAGUCGGCCUGCGCGGAAGAUGUAACGGGGCUAAACCAUGCACCGAAGCUGCGGCAGCGACACUAUGUGUUGUUGGGUAGGGGAGCGUUCUGUAAGCCUGUGAAGGUGGCCUGUGAGGGUUGCUGGAGGUAUCAGAAGUGCGAAUGCUGACAUAAGUAACGAUAAAGCGGGUGAAAAGCCCGCUCGCCGGAAGACCAAGGGUUCCUGUCCAACGUUAAUCGGGGCAGGGUGAGUCGACCCCUAAGGCGAGGCCGAAAGGCGUAGUCGAUGGGAAACAGGUUAAUAUUCCUGUACUUGGUGUUACUGCGAAGGGGGGACGGAGAAGGCUAUGUUGGCCGGGCGACGGUUGUCCCGGUUUAAGCGUGUAGGCUGGUUUUCCAGGCAAAUCCGGAAAACCAAGGCUGAGGCGUGAUGACGAGGCACUACGGUGCUGAAGCGACAAAUGCCCUGCUUCCAGGAAAAGCCUCUAAGCAUCAGGUAACAUCAAAUCGUACCCCAAACCGACACAGGUGGUCAGGUAGAGAAUACCAAGGCGCUUGAGAGAACUCGGGUGAAGGAACUAGGCAAAAUGGUGCCGUAACUUCGGGAGAAGGCACGCUGAUAUGUAGGUGAAGCGACUUGCUCGUGGAGCUGAAAUCAGUCGAAGAUACCAGCUGGCUGCAACUGUUUAUUAAAAACACAGCACUGUGCAAACACGAAAGUGGACGUAUACGGUGUGACGCCUGCCCGGUGCCGGAAGGUUAAUUGAUGGGGUUAGCGGUAACGCGAAGCUCUUGAUCGAAGCCCCGGUAAACGGCGGCCGUAACUAUAACGGUCCUAAGGUAGCGAAAUUCCUUGUCGGGUAAGUUCCGACCUGCACGAAUGGCGUAAUGAUGGCCAGGCUGUCUCCACCCGAGACUCAGUGAAAUUGAACUCGCUGUGAAGAUGCAGUGUACCCGCGGCAAGACGGAAAGACCCCGUGAACCUUUACUAUAGCUUGACACUGAACAUUGAGCCUUGAUGUGUAGGAUAGGUGGGAGGCUUUGAAGUGUGGACGCCAGUCUGCAUGGAGCCGACCUUGAAAUACCACCCUUUAAUGUUUGAUGUUCUAACGUUGGCCCGUAAUCCGGGUUGCGGACAGUGUCUGGUGGGUAGUUUGACUGGGGCGGUCUCCUCCUAAAGAGUAACGGAGGAGCACGAAGGUUGGCUAAUCCUGGUCGGACAUCAGGAGGUUAGUGCAAUGGCAUAAGCCAGCUUGACUGCGAGCGUGACGGCGCGAGCAGGUGCGAAAGCAGGUCAUAGUGAUCCGGUGGUUCUGAAUGGAAGGGCCAUCGCUCAACGGAUAAAAGGUACUCCGGGGAUAACAGGCUGAUACCGCCCAAGAGUUCAUAUCGACGGCGGUGUUUGGCACCUCGAUGUCGGCUCAUCACAUCCUGGGGCUGAAGUAGGUCCCAAGGGUAUGGCUGUUCGCCAUUUAAAGUGGUACGCGAGCUGGGUUUAGAACGUCGUGAGACAGUUCGGUCCCUAUCUGCCGUGGGCGCUGGAGAACUGAGGGGGGCUGCUCCUAGUACGAGAGGACCGGAGUGGACGCAUCACUGGUGUUCGGGUUGUCAUGCCAAUGGCACUGCCCGGUAGCUAAAUGCGGAAGAGAUAAGUGCUGAAAGCAUCUAAGCACGAAACUUGCCCCGAGAUGAGUUCUCCCUGAGACUUAGAGUCUCCUGAAGGAACGUUGAAGACGACGACGUUGAUAGGCCGGGUGUGUAAGCGCAGCGAUGCGUUGAGCUAACCGGUACUAAUGAACCGUGAGGCUUAACCUUACAACGCCGAAG
RNAcentral lists this ribosomal RNA (2564 nucleotides) under Escherichia coli. RNAcentral's name for it is "partial 23S ribosomal RNA". It matches the Rfam family "Bacterial large subunit ribosomal RNA", at positions 393 to 2925 of the family's 2925-position model. The record is from RNAcentral. Lineage: Bacteria; Pseudomonadati; Pseudomonadota; Gammaproteobacteria; Enterobacterales; Enterobacteriaceae.